CUUGUCUCACCCUCCCAUCCUUGCCCAUCCAAGCCAAGCUUGUCACAACCUCCCAUCCUUGCCUACCCUUACCCAACCAAGUCAAGUUUGUCCCGACCUCCUGUCUUUUCCCACCCUCCCUUUUUCUCAGACACAUCUACAACCAUCCAUACAUCGAUUUACUCAUCCAUUCUCCUUCGCUCACAUAUCACAUACCCUAUGCAUCCACACACCCAUUCUCUCCCACCCUCCUACACAUAUUCACCCUCUUUCACAAUCCCAUUCAUAUGCACAGACACACACAUACACCCACACACACCUGCACUCACACACACAUGCCCACACACACAUCCAUAGAACUUGUUUAGGGCUUCAUCAGCACUUGUGAAUUCCAUCCUUUGUAUUCCGUUCUAUACCCGCAGCACUGACAGGAAGUGGAGUUGAGAUUUGAUUAGAUUUUUCCUCAGUGACUGUCUGAUCAGAAUGUAUUCCUUAUGUUUUUUCCUCAGCCUAGCAGACAAAUGCUGGAUGAAUCGAAUGGACUGGCCGUGGAUUUUGAUCUCCUUUCCCCCUGUGCCUUUAGAAUGUUGACUUUGGUCUGAUAGUUCCACAGCUUGAAGAUUACCAUGCGGGGGCGUUCUUCUGUUUCACGCCAAUCAUAUGGCAUUGUUCCAGAUCCUCUGGUGAUAUAUCCACAUCAAGUUCCUCUGAUAUCAGUUUGACCACAUAGCUGGAAAUGUCAACUUUUUCCUCGUCUUCCGGGAUGGAGUGAGAGACCCUAACUUCAUUAAAAUCCUCUACGCUCUCAAGCUAUCCAAUAAUGCCAAAGUCUAUUCAGGAGUGGUGAACUUCAAACCAAAGAGCUAAGUUGAUCUCAGACCGUGGCGGUGUAAGCAUCACUUCUGACCACCUUGUUGUUGAUGGCCUGAUCAAGUUCACUCUGGAGAGUGAGACAGAGUCUCUCAGCCAACAGCCUGAAGCCCAUGGUGCUUUUCCAGGACCACAAGGUUCCAGGAUAUGCCAAAGAUCUGAUCAAGUUCCUCAAUGGAUACUCCUCCUCUACUCUUUUACUGGAUGCUCAGUGAGUACUUCCUCUUCCUCCUCUGUAAUCCUAGACCACCCUGCCAGUGUUCAAUAUGGGUGCUGUGAAUGUCUCUUUCUUUCUCUCUCUCGCCCUCCCUCCCCCUCUUCCCCCAGGUCUAUCCUAGAGUCAGGUCUGAGUAGAGAAUUACUCUAAACGGUUCCAGCUGCUGCUGUAUCUAGAGGAGCUACAGAUGGAGGUACCAGGUGAGUCCGAGAAUCGUCCAUCUGUUCUGCGGGGCAACUCCAUCCUGGUGACGAGGUCAGGUGACGCUAAUAAGGGGGGCGUGGUCAAAUACCGUGGUUACGUCCACCGUGUGGAGCUGGACUCCGUCAAACUGGGAUUUAACAGGAAGUAAGGACAUGAUUGGAGGAGGCUUCUUCCUGAAGGGAUCUUAUAAAUCAAAGCUCUCUCUCUUCAUGGUUGUCUGGUUACAUUCUGAUUCUCUACUCUUUCUUCAAAAGUGUGCACUCGUUCACUCCCCCUCAUGCAUUUAAAAGCACUGGAUUAGGGAAAGCAUGGCUGGGGGGAGUUUCCAACAUAUUCCUUAUACUAGUUAAUUUCUUUUAAAUCCGUGAGGUGGCGUGCCACUCUGAACCCUCACACUAAAUUCUUACGCUGCUCUAUCAUUUGUUAGACUUUAGUCUGAAUCUUCCAUUAUUGAAAGUUGUUUUGUGGUGUUGUUUGUGGUGAAAACCAAUCCCAGUAUCAAAGCCAAUUACGUACCACAAAAACGCAGCUUCACCCACGUGUGUUCUGGCCCAACACAUUGGUUUCUGGAACUAAUCAGACAGCCCCAAAGGAUCUAAAACAAACGUCCGUGGGUGUGGCAUUGUGUUUGAACAGAUUAAGGAGUCAGAGUAGCAGUGUUGUAAAGCACUUAAGUAAAAAUACUUGAAAGUACUACUUAAGUUGUUUUUUGGGGUAUCUGUACUUUACCAUUUAUAUUUUGGUCAACUUUUACUUUGCUGCAUUCCUAAAGAAAAUAAUGUACUUUUUACUCCUUACAUUUUCCCUGACACCCAAAAGUACUCAUUACAUUUUGAAUGGUUAGCAGGACAGAACAUUUUACAAUUCACACACUAAUAAACAGAACCUCCCUGGUCAGCCCUACUGCCUCUGAUCUGGCGGACUCACUAGACACAAAUGCUUUGUUGGUAAAUUGUCUGACUGUUGGAGUGUGCUUAAUAUAAGGAAUUUAAAAUUAUUCAUACUAUUAAUUUUGAUACUUAAGUAUAUUUAAAACCAAAUACUUUUAGAUUUUUACACAAGUAGUAAUUUACUGUAAUUCUUCACUGGAUCAGUCUGAAACUUUGUACACAUACUGCUACCAUCUGGUGGCCAAAAUCGAAAUUAAACAGAUUCCUAUCUGAAAGUAUGGCCUUUCUCUUGCAUUUCAAAGAUGGAGAAAAAAAAUUACGUUUUUUUGUUUGUAUUAUCUUUUACCAGAUCUAAUGUGUUAUAUUAUCCUACAUUAA
Molecule: long non-coding RNA, 2538 nt
Filed under: Salmo trutta (river trout)
Lineage: Eukaryota; Metazoa; Chordata; Actinopteri; Salmoniformes; Salmonidae
Description: lncRNA (ENSSTUG00000002618.1)
Source: RNAcentral